This 466-nucleotide ribosomal RNA is filed under the name uncultured bacterium. RNAcentral's name for it is "partial 16S ribosomal RNA". It matches the Rfam family "Bacterial small subunit ribosomal RNA", at positions 28 to 508 of the family's 1533-position model. The record is from RNAcentral.
GACGAACGCUGGCGGCGUGCUUAACACAUGCAGGUCGAACGGAAAGGCCCCUUCGGGGGUACUCGAGUGGCGAACGGGUGAGUAACACGUGAGUAACCUGCCCUUGACUUCGGGAUAACUUCAGGAAACUGGGGCUAAUACCGGAUAGGAAUCCUUGCUGCAUGGUGGGGGUUGGAAAGCUUCGGCGGUUUUGGAUGGACUCGCGGCUUAUCAGCUUGUUGGUGGGGUAGUGGCUUACCAAGGCCUUGACGGGUAGCCGGCCUGAGAGGGCGACCGGCCACAUAGGGACUGAGAUACGGCGCAGACUCCUACGGGGGGCAGCAGUGGGGAAUAUUGCACAAUGGGCGGGAGCCUGAUGCAGCAACGCCGCGUGCGGGAUGACGGCCUUCGGGUUGUAAACCGCUUUCAGCAGGGGCGAAGCUUGUGGGGACGGUACCUGCAGAAGAAGCACCGGGUAACUACGUGC